ACAACAGUUAACAACAACCCACAAAUUACCAUCUCGUUUGUACAAUUUCAACAGAUAAUGCGACUCAGAGACCCAGUCAAAGUUGUACGGCCAUUUAAAUCAGGACAAAGCAGCGGAACAUCGCUUUACAAACAUCGCACGGCCUAACGAAGCAAAAGAACUCCAACGCGUUAACGCGCUGCAGCGGAUGCCUGAUCAUCUGCGAUGUUAAUUACAUGCAAAUUGUCAGCGGUUGCCAACGUUGAUUCGAAAUGGCGCCAAAAUAUUAGCAUAAUUCGCGUAGAAUGGAAUGGUUUGAGCGGGUAGUAAUGACUUAUUUAUCGUGAAAUCGAAUCUGUGAUAGUGCACAAAUAUGUCAAAAUAAUAGAAAGCUGCUGGAUGUGGCUUUUUGGGUAUAUCCAAAAAGUUUACUGAAAACGAGUAAAUAAACAGCAUCUCACUACGACCUAAUUUCAUUUCA
Long non-coding RNA from Bombyx mori (domestic silkworm), 460 nucleotides. RefSeq lists it as uncharacterized. Lineage: Eukaryota; Metazoa; Arthropoda; Insecta; Lepidoptera; Bombycidae. The transcript has 2 exons. The record is from RefSeq and is a predicted model, not a curated record.